AUGCCACCACCGAGCAUGACCUCACCAGCAUCGCACUGGAGAUCGCAAUCUCCACCGUCUACAAUAACGAUAGGGUCAUCGCUGAGUUGGCCGACGAAAAAGAGGGCACACCGUAGGGGGAUGCGCUACUUGUUUGCCACAAUGCUUAUCUUGGCGCAGACAAUGACCUCAACCUACAAGCUCAUGUUGCCUUCGAGUAUGCGGACUAUGUCGGUGCCUCAAAGGUUGUGUCACUCGCGAAAGGCGCCGACGAUGCAUGUGAGAACGCGUUCAAGAGGAUCAACAAGAAGUCCCCCGUGGCCGGCAUAG
RNAcentral lists this ribosomal RNA (309 nucleotides) under Triticum aestivum (bread wheat). RNAcentral's name for it is "partial small subunit ribosomal RNA". The record is from RNAcentral. Lineage: Eukaryota; Viridiplantae; Streptophyta; Magnoliopsida; Poales; Poaceae.